This is a long non-coding RNA of Etheostoma spectabile (orangethroat darter), 470 nucleotides long. RefSeq lists it as uncharacterized. NCBI's taxonomy places the organism in Eukaryota, Metazoa, Chordata, Actinopteri, Perciformes, Percidae. The record is from RefSeq and is a predicted model, not a curated record. The transcript is spliced from 4 exons.
UAACUUGUAUACUACCUUAUAUGUAGUGCAGUCUGUACUGCAGUGCUGACCCUUCAGGAAAUAGUCUGACACCUUAUGAGUGAUGGAUAACAUCUAUGCCAAUGUUGAAUAUGAUAAGCCUGUUAACCCAAGACCUUCGACAAAUCAGACAGGUCCCAGGAGCUCCGGGAGGAGAUUUCAUGGAGCUGUUGUUCUGGGUCUGGGGCUGCUGAGUGUUUUCCUGCUGGCUGGGAUCAUCGGCCUCGGUGUCCACUCGCCACUAUCAAGGCCAACCUGACUGAGCGUCUCCAGGCCAGUGAGGACAAGUCUUCUUCCCUGACUGAAGAGAGAGACCAGCUGAACUCCAGGCUCACUGAAAUGGCUAAAGAGUUGGACAGGCUUCAACAGAAGAAACCGUGUCCAGCUGAAUGGAGGACGUUCUGUUCUUCCUGUUAUCUCCUCUCUGCUGAGACUGGUUCCUGGAAAGGCAG